GUUUUAAUAAUUUAAAUAAAAUAUUGGUCUUGUAAACCAAAAAUAAGGAUUAACCUUUUGAAACU
Molecule: transfer RNA, 65 nt
Filed under: Paratemnopteryx couloniana
Lineage: Eukaryota; Metazoa; Arthropoda; Insecta; Blattodea; Blattellidae
Description: tRNA-Thr
Rfam family: tRNA
About the family: Transfer RNA (tRNA) molecules are approximately 80 nucleotides in length. Their secondary structure includes four short double-helical elements and three loops (D, anti-codon, and T loops).
Source: RNAcentral